Molecule: ribosomal RNA, 497 nt
Filed under: uncultured bacterium
Lineage: Bacteria
Description: partial 16S ribosomal RNA
Rfam family: Bacterial small subunit ribosomal RNA
Source: RNAcentral
GAUGAACGCUGGCGGCGUGCCUAAUACAUGCAAGUCGAGCGAACGGACGAGAAGCUUGCUUCUCUGAUGUUAGCGGCGGACGGGUGAGUAACACGUGGAUAACCUACCUAUAAGACUGGGAUAACUUCGGAAAACCGGAGCUAAUACCGGAUAAUAUUUUGAACCGCAUGGUUCAAAAGUGAAAGACGGUCUUGCUGUCUCUUAUAGAUGGAUCCGCGCUGCAUUAGCUAGUUGGUAAGGUAACGGCUUACCAAGGCAACGAUGCAUAGCCGACCUGAGAGGGUGAUCGGCCACACUGGAACUGAGACACGGUCCAGACUCCUACGGGAGGCAGCAGUAGGGAAUCUUCCGCAAUGGGCGAAAGCCUGACGGAGCAACGCCGCGUGAGUGAUGAAGGUCUUCGGAUCGUAAAACUCUGUUAUUAGGGAAGAACAUAUGUGUAAGUAACUGUGCACAUCUUGACGGUACCUAAUCAGAAAGCCACGGCUAACUACGUG